This is a long non-coding RNA of Pieris napi, 266 nucleotides long. RefSeq lists it as uncharacterized. The record is from RefSeq and is a predicted model, not a curated record. Lineage: Eukaryota; Metazoa; Arthropoda; Insecta; Lepidoptera; Pieridae. The transcript is spliced from 2 exons.
ACAAUAUAUAGGGGAAGAUCGUUACCCUUCGUACGCGGGGCACAUUCAUACAGUCAAAAUAAAACUUGAACGAAACAAAGUACAGUCUUGCUUUUGUAUGUGUGCAUGAGUCGAGGUACCAACUAUACAUCAACGAAGUUUCGUGAAAUUCGCACCGAUGAGAGUGAAGUUACAGGCAUGGACGUGUUUUCGCGCUCGUUAGUGGGGUACAUUCGGACAGCACUAGAUGGGGCACAUUUGAACGAAUUGUACAACUAAAUUUGUAU